AUUGUUGAUGGUGGAGGGGGCACCCUGUGUAUUGUAGGACGUUGAGCAGCUUCUCUGACUUCUACCUACUAGAUGCCAGUAUCUCAGUUUUCUUAAAAGACUUUUUUUUUUUUUUGAGAUGGACUCUUGCUGUGUUGCCUAGGCUGGAGUGCAGUGGCACCAUGUCGACUCACUGCAACCUCCGCCUCCCCGGGUCAAGCGAUUCUCCUGCCUCAGCUUCCUGAGUAGCUGGGAUUACAGGUGAGCACCACCAUGCCCAGCUAAUCGUAAAAGACUUUUCAUAAAACUUCAGAACUCCUUAAAAACUAGUGAAUAGCCAAGGUGAAGAAAGGCCUCAGGCUUCUGACUUUAGACCCCAAUCCCUGGGACUCCCACACUCAGCAAAGAAAGCUGGGUGCCUGCACCUUGGAUCUCUGAGCAAAUCUGUCUUAUGGCUGUGGGCAACUCAGGAACAUGAAUUAGCACGAGAAUCUGGAGUUUUUCUUUCCUUUUCUGGGUCUCACUCUGUCACCCAGGCUGGAGUGCAGUGGUGCAGUCAUGGCUCCCUGUAACCUCAACCUCUCAGAC
This 567-nucleotide non-coding RNA is filed under the name Pan troglodytes (chimpanzee). Lineage: Eukaryota; Metazoa; Chordata; Mammalia; Primates; Hominidae. The record is from RNAcentral.